RNAcentral lists this transfer RNA (48 nucleotides) under Sambucus nigra (European elder). Its description in RNAcentral is "partial tRNA-Leu". The record is from RNAcentral. RNAcentral also lists the same sequence under 1 other name. Lineage: Eukaryota; Viridiplantae; Streptophyta; Magnoliopsida; Dipsacales; Adoxaceae.
CCUAUCCUUUUUUCGUUACGUUAGCGGUUCCAAAUUUGUUAUCUUUCU